GACGAACGCUGGCGGCGUGCUUAACACACGCAAGUCGAACGGUAAGGCCCUUCGGGGUACACGAGUGGCGAACGGGUGAGUAACACGUGGGUGAUCUGCCCUGCACUUCGGGAUAAGCCUGGGAAACUGGGUCUAAUACCGGGUAGGACCACUGCCUGCAUGGGUGGUGGGGGAAAGCUUUUGCGGUGUGGGAUGGGCCCGCGGCCUAUCAGCUUGUUGGUGGGGUGAUGGCCUACCAAGGCGACGACGGGUAGCCGGCCUGGGAGGGUGACCGGCCACACUGGGACUGAGAUACGGCCCAGACUCCUACGGGAGGCAGCAGUGGGGAAUAUUGCACAAUGGGCGCAAGCCUGAUGCAGCGACGCCGCGUGAGGGAUGACGGCCUUCGGGUUGUGAACCUCUUUCAGCACCGACGAAGCGCAAGUGACGGUAGGUGCAGAAGAAGGACCGGCCAACUACGUGCCAGCAGCCGCCGUAA
This 478-nucleotide ribosomal RNA is filed under the name uncultured bacterium. RNAcentral's name for it is "partial 16S ribosomal RNA". It matches the Rfam family "Bacterial small subunit ribosomal RNA", at positions 28 to 523 of the family's 1533-position model. The record is from RNAcentral.